Molecule: ribosomal RNA, 555 nt
Filed under: Triticum aestivum (bread wheat)
Lineage: Eukaryota; Viridiplantae; Streptophyta; Magnoliopsida; Poales; Poaceae
Description: partial small subunit ribosomal RNA
Source: RNAcentral
AUGGCCGAAUGCUUCAAUAGGGUGCUCAAAGGUGCACGUGGAUUACCCGUGACGGCAAUAGUUCAAUACACAUUUGACAAGAUGAAUGCGUACUUUGUAAAGUACUCGAUGGAAACCGAUGCACAGAUAGCGGGUGAGAACCCACGGAAGUACAAGUACAAGUUCCCACCCAAAGUUGAUGAAUGGUUGCUAUUUCAAUCACGGAAAGCGGACUCAGAAGAAGCUAUAUUAUAUGACAAUGAGGAGUGGAAGUACGAAGUGAAAGAGCCAGGAGGAACCACAAACAAUGGCCGGCAACAUGGAGGUCGGGCUUUCAAGGUGUCGUUAACACAAUGUGAUUGCACUUGCGGGAGGCCAUUGUUGCUUCAUCUCCCAUGCUGACAUUUGUAUGCCGCCGGCCGCGUUAGGAAUGUGGACAUCAAUCACCCACGCACCGUGAGGGAGUCCCAGUUCUCAAUCAUGACGGUCAAGAAAACAUGGGCUCCCCGCUUUCACCCAUACUUUGACCAAUCACAAUGGCCGGAGUAUCAUGGAGUUCAACUAUGGCCGGAUCCG